RNAcentral lists this ribosomal RNA (320 nucleotides) under uncultured eukaryote. RNAcentral's name for it is "partial 18S ribosomal RNA". It matches the Rfam family "Eukaryotic small subunit ribosomal RNA", at positions 1470 to 1796 of the family's 1831-position model. The record is from RNAcentral.
CCCUUAGAUGUUCUGGGCUGCACGCGCGCUACACUGACACACCCAGCGAGUCUCCUGCCCUGACAGGGUUGGGUAAUCAUUGGAGUGUGUGUCGUGAUGGGGAUAGAGUAUUGCAAUUAUUGCUCUCGAACGAGGAAUUCCUAGUAAGCACAAGUCAGCAGCUUGUGCUGAUUACGUCCCUGCCCUUUGUACACACCGCCCGUCGCUCCUACCGAGGGGGUGAUCCGGUGAAUGAUUCGGACUUUGGCGUUUCUAGCUGCUAGCAGCGCUGAAGAAAGUUUUGUGAACCUUAUCACUUGGAGGAAGGAGAAGUCGUAACA